This 487-nucleotide ribosomal RNA is filed under the name uncultured bacterium. RNAcentral describes it as "bacterial SSU rRNA". It matches the Rfam family "Bacterial small subunit ribosomal RNA", at positions 917 to 1382 of the family's 1533-position model. The record is from RNAcentral.
GGGCUCACACAAGCGGUGGAGCAUGUGGCUUAAUUCGAGGCUACGCGAAGAACCUUAUCCUGGACUUGACAUGUCCGAAAGGGGCAGGAAGUAGCGUGCGGAAACGUUACGCGAACGGUAUCCAGUCCGGAACCUGCCACAGGUGCUGCAUGGCUGUCGUCAGCUCGUGUCGUGAGAUGUCGGGUUAAGUCCCAUAACGAGCGAAACCCCUGUCUCCAGUUGCCAGCAGUUCGGCUGGGGACUCUGGAGAGACUGCCGGCGUCAAGCCGGAGGAAGGUGGGGAUGACGUCAAGUCCUCAUGGCCUUUACGUCCAGGGCUGCACACGUGCUACAAUGGCGUGAACAAAGGGAAGCCAACGCGCGAGCGGGAGCCAAUCCCAAAAAACACGCCCCAGUUCAGAUUGAAGGCUGCAACUCGCCUUCAUGAAGUUGGAAUCGCUAGUAAUCGCGGGUCAGCAACACCGCGGUGAAUGUGUUCCUGAGCCUU